CCUACGGGUGGCAGCAGUGGGGAAUCUUGGACAAUGGGGGCAACCCUGAUCCAGCCAUGCCGCGUGAGUGAUGAAGGCCCUAGGGUUGUAAAACUCUUUCGGCGGGGACGAUAAUGACGGUACCCGCAGAAGAAGCUCCGGCUAACUUCGUGCCAGCAGCCGCGGUAAUACGAAGGGGGCUAGCGUUGUUCGGAAUUACUGGGCGUAAAGCGCGCGCAGGCGGUCCUUCAAGUCAGGGGUGAAAGCCCAGAGCUCAACUCUGGAACUGCCUUUGAGACUGUAGGACUUGGGUACGGGAGAGGUGAGUGGAAUUCCGAGUGUAGAGGUGAAAUUCGUAGAUAUUCGGAAGAACACCAGUGGCGAAGGCGGCUCACUGGCCCGUUACCGACGCUCAGGCGCGACAGCGUGGGGAGCAAACAGGAUUAGAUACCCCAGUAGUC
This 440-nucleotide ribosomal RNA is filed under the name uncultured Hyphomicrobiales bacterium. RNAcentral's name for it is "bacterial SSU rRNA". It matches the Rfam family "Bacterial small subunit ribosomal RNA", at positions 338 to 795 of the family's 1533-position model. The record is from RNAcentral. Lineage: Bacteria; Pseudomonadati; Pseudomonadota; Alphaproteobacteria; Hyphomicrobiales.